Podarcis lilfordi (Lilford's wall lizard) is the source of this 1545-nucleotide non-coding RNA. Lineage: Eukaryota; Metazoa; Chordata; Lepidosauria; Squamata; Lacertidae. The record is from the annotation of a GenBank genome assembly.
GGCAGUGUACACAUGAUGCAAGAGUACAACCCUACUGACACGUGAUGUGAGCUUUUUCUGCACGCACAAAGGAAAAUCAAGAAGGAGAAGACAUGUGCAGAAAUGUGACCCAUCAUAACUUACUGUUCAGAAAUUACCAAAGAUCUGAGGUAAGAAGCUAGCCUUUAAAACCUCAUAUGAAGGAUAAGAACUUAAGGACAGUUCAAAUGGUCCAUGUGAUCAAGCAUCCUACUUCUCAUUGUCAAAGCCAACAAGCGGGACAGCAAGGCAAUAGCUAUCUCCUGAUUAUAUACUCUCCAGCAACGGGUACUUUUACCCAUUUUACAUUUGAUGAAAUUGUUUUAUAGUAUUUAGAAUCUGUAUGGAUGAUUUUAUCAUUUUAGAGUUUGUUAAAUUGGUUUUAAUCAACCUUAGAGCUUGCGCUUCUAUGUUUUAUUCUGUUUGAUAUGUAAACUACUUCAAUGGCUUUAAGUUAUGAAAAGGUUUGAACGUUUGUUUAUUAUUCUUAUGAUUAUGAAGAAGAUCCUGAAGAAAUAUCCUACCCCCAAUAACAAAAAUAAUUUUUUGAGAAUUCUUAUCAAAUUCUUUUUUUGGCAUCAGGGGAUACAAUUGCAGCUGCAUCCAUUCUUUGAAUCCAAGGGUGAUUUGGAUUUUUCUUUGAAAGAAAACCACAGAUACAAAUAAAAGGAAAAACUUUGGGCCCGUGUGCAUCUCUAGCAUUUACUAUAAUAUGAAAGGGCAAAAGAAAUAAUCAAGGUUUUUUAUUUGCUUCCCAAUCAGUUUUAUACCACUAAUUUUACUAUUUCUUAAUUAUUCUCUUUCCCUACUAUUGGUAAUAUUAUUGCCUUUCUUCAAACAUAUAUACCAACAAGAAAUCAUUUUUUGUAUUUAUGAAUAACUGCCUGCAAGAAAAUGUCUUUGUAUAUAUUCUGCUACAUUCCUGAGCUGCCUUGUGGGACAUCUUUGGGAGAAGAAAAGGUUAAGGAGUAAACCCUACACAAAUCCAGAGUAGAAUCCACAGUGGAUGGUGCCCUUGCACCUCCUUCUGGCAACUCCUGCAGCCAACAUGGUGCCAAAUGUAUUGCUCUGCUUUCCUUUGGAUCACAUCACUGAGGCCGAGAGGGGGUUCUUGCCAUCUGGGCAGCCCAGGACCUCCAAAUACAUUGCCCAGACUUGCGCCCCAGAGAGGACUCUACACAGCUUGACUUCAUCCCCAAAGAUGCACUUCAUUUUCUCUUGAGACAGAUGGAUGCCAACAGCAGCAAUCUGAGCUCAAGUUAUAACCUUAAGCAAAGCAGUGAGAAACUCUUGAGAGGAAAGAAUGAAGAACCCAGUGGAUUAUGUACCUAUCAGACCUUUGUUACAAAUAUACAUUCCCAGGAAAUGAGUUCGCCAUACAGCAGCAUUCAAGCUAUCAAAACAUCAACAGAAGAGAGAGUGAAUGAAAUAUUCAAUGGCUUUCCUCAAUAAGAAAGGUAAUAAAGAAAGCUAUUGCUGGCAGCCACCCAUUUGAAAAGGUAAUAUGGCUGUUUGCAAGCUGAGCAG